CGUACCCCCACUUGUCCAAUCCGCCAGUCGUCGUGUCCACCUGCCGUUUCACUCUCCGAGGAACGCACGCACUCCAUUGCUCUUCUCCUCCAUCGCCGUCCCCCCUUGCGCCACGCCGACGCCGAACUAAAAAGGCCCAGGGAUGUGCUAGGUGUAGAUAGCUGCCGUUGGCUCGACACGCGCCUACGCGAGGGGCGGCGCGAGAUGAAGGACGCCAAGUGGCCCGCACCGAUGAUGGGCGGCGGCGGGAGGCGCGCCCCUGCGCCCUACUCUCUCCUCGCCACCUCUCCUCCCACCAGCACCAGCAACGACGGCUGCUCGCCGCACUACCCUCCAGCGGCUUCCGACGCCGCCGCCUCCUCGUUCAAGCCCCCACCGCAGCGGCACAGCCCGCAGCUGGGCGUUGGCGUGGCGGACUGGCUGCGGCUGCAGCGGCAGUCCAGCGGGAGCAGCGUCGGCGGCGAAGACGGCGAGGUAUUCUCCUCCGUCUCCACCGUCGCCAAUGCGGAGCACAGGGGCGACGCGGAUCGACCGCCGGGCAGCAGCGGCGGCGGCAGCAAAAGCUGGGCGCAGCAGGCGGAGGAGGCUUACCAGCUCCAGCUCGCCCUCGCGCUCCGCCUCUGCUCCGAUGCCGCUUCCGCCGCCGACCCUAACUUCCUCGACUCCUCCGCCGCCGACCACCACGACAUCGCCACCUCGCCCCAGUCCCUCUCCUACCGCUUCUGGGUCAAUGGCAGCUUGUCCUACUCCGACAAGGUCUCAGAUGGCUUCUACCUCAUCCAGGGGAUGGAUCCCUUCAUAUGGACCCUCUGCACCGACGUGCAGGACGGCGGGCGUGUCCCGUCCAUCGAGUCCCUCAAGGCUUUGAAUCCCACCGAAUCAUCCAUUGAGAUCGUUCUCAUAGAUAAGGUGGCCGACUAUGACCUGAGGCAGCAGAUUAGCACCGCGAUUGACGUCUCUCGGAGCUGUGCCGACACCAAGGAAAUAACAACUCGCCUCGCCAGCAUUGUGUCCGUGAAGAUGGGGGGUUCAGUAGCAUCCACCGAAGAACAUGAGUUGGCUCCCCGGUGGAGAGACUCCGUUGGGUUCCUCAAGAUUAGCUCAGCUUCUGUUUUGCUUCCGAUUGGGAAGUUAUCAGUUGGCCUUUGUUCCCACCGAGCGUUGCUGUUCAAGACCCUAGCAGAUUCUAUCAAUCUUCCUUGUCGAAUUGUGAGGGGAUGCAAAUAUUGCAAAGCUGUUGGUGCUGCCUCUUGCUUGGUGCGCUUUUGCCACAACAGGGAAUAUCUAAUUGAUUUGAUAGGGAACCCAGGCUUCUUGUCUGAACCUGACUCCCUUUUGAAUGGUCUAUCGUCUAUGUCCAUUUCAUCACCAUUGCGCCCACCGAAACACAGUUCAGUUGCUAUUGUUGAUAACUUCAAGUCAUUAGCCAAGCAGUAUUUCCUUGAUUGUCAAUCACUAAAUCUCUUGUUCAAUGUUCCAGCCGCAGGAACAGUUGUUGACUUAGAUGAGGGCAUGGGAUCAAAUCUUGGUCCAAAGCCAUCACGCGCAACAAAAAGUGAUUUGCAAGCUACCUUUUCUCAUAUUAAGGGUGAUGCUCAACGAAACGGUCAAGAUGGAAAUUUUAUAAGGCAAAGGAGUUUUCCUGAAGAUACCCUAUCUGAACAAAGUGAUCCCUUCAGUGAUAUCUCUCUAAACAUAGAGGACUUGAUUAUUCCAUGGAACAAACUUGCUGUGAGAGAAAAAAUCGGCGCUGGUUCUUUUGGAACUGUGCACCGUGCAGAUUGGAAUGGCUCGGAUGUUGCUGUGAAGAUUCUAAUGGAUCAGGAUCUCCAUCCAGAGCGUCUCAAGGAGUUUCUAAGGGAGGUUGCAAUUAUGAAAAGUCUGCGACAUCCAAACAUUGUUCUUCUUAUGGGUGCUGUUACUCAGCCACCCAACCUUUCAAUUGUGACCGAGUAUCUAUCAAGAGGUAACCUAUACAGGCUUUUACACAGGCAUGGUGCAAGGGAAAAUCUAGACGAGAGGCGGCGCUUGAGUAUGGCCUUCGAUGUGGCAAAGGGGAUGAAUUAUCUUCAUAAGCGCAACCCUCCAAUAGUUCAUCGGGAUUUAAAGUCACCAAACUUGUUGGUUGACAAAAAAUACACUGUGAAAGUCUGUGACUUUGGUCUCUCCAGAUUGAAGGCAAACACAUUUUUGUCAUCCAAGACUGCAGCAGGGACUCCUGAGUGGAUGGCACCAGAAGUUCUACGUGAUGAGCCAUCCAAUGAAAAGUCUGAUGUGUACAGCUUUGCUGUUAUCCUAUGGGAGCUCAUGACUUUGCAGCAGCCAUGGAGUAAUUUAAAUCCAGCUCAGGUGGUAGCAGCUGUUGGAUUUAGGGGAAGAAGGCCUGAGAUUCCAAGUAGUGUUGAUCCAAAAGUGGCGGCAAUAAUUGAAUCUUGCUGGGCGAAAGAACCCUGGAGACGACCCUCUUUCACCAGUAUCAUGGAAUCCCUGAAACCUCUUAUCAAGGUAUUACCACCCCAUCAACUACAAGAAGAACAUUAGUUACAGCUCAUGAGGCCUAUCCUGGAGAUCCCAACAUCUUUUGAUAGCUUACAAAAAGAAACAGAAUGGAAUGAUUAAGCCUGUUACUGCCGUUACAGACUUUAUGUGGAACUAUGGAUAUCCGGAUGCAACCAAACUGAGCACAUACUUUAUUUGAAUUGGAAUUCAUUGAAGUUCGCAUCACAUUUCAAUAUGUGUAAUUAUUCUUUACUCAUUUCAUUGGAGGGACGGAUGGUUGAGCCCAGGAUUGGUAAGAAUAGAGUCAUUUAGGUUGGUUGAUAGGAAGAGCUAGUAUUCUGUUUGGUUAGACGGAUGAGCAUACAGUUACGGAUUCUAUGGAUUGAAGGAUUUUCACGGGAGAUUUUGGUAGGAUUCUAACCA
This is an RNA transcript of Brachypodium distachyon (stiff brome), 2922 nucleotides long. It is a transcript of the gene named serine/threonine-protein kinase CTR1, with no coding region annotated. The transcript has 17 exons. NCBI's taxonomy places the organism in Eukaryota, Viridiplantae, Streptophyta, Magnoliopsida, Poales, Poaceae. The record is from RefSeq and is a predicted model, not a curated record.